RNAcentral lists this ribosomal RNA (330 nucleotides) under uncultured bacterium. RNAcentral describes it as "bacterial SSU rRNA". It matches the Rfam family "Bacterial small subunit ribosomal RNA", at positions 568 to 898 of the family's 1533-position model. The record is from RNAcentral.
UGUGUAGGCGGCCAGCUAAGUAGGGUGUGAAAGGCCUCGGCUCAACCGAGGCACUGCGCUCUAAACUGACUGGCUUGAGUGAGAUAGGGGUGUGCGGAACUUCCAGUGGAGCGGUGAAAUGUGUUGAUAUUGGAAGGAACGCCGGUGGCGAAAGCGGCACACUGGGUCUUGUCUGACGCUGAGACACGAAAGCCAGGGGAGCGAACGGGAUUAGAUACCCCGGUAGUCCUGGCUGUAAACGAUGAGCACUAGUUGGGAGGGGCCUCGGCCCAUCCGAACGCAGCGAAAGCAUUAAGUGCUCCGCCUGGGGAGUAUGGUCGCAAGGCUGAA